RNAcentral lists this ribosomal RNA (466 nucleotides) under uncultured bacterium. Its description in RNAcentral is "partial 16S ribosomal RNA". It matches the Rfam family "Bacterial small subunit ribosomal RNA", at positions 28 to 507 of the family's 1533-position model. The record is from RNAcentral.
GAUGAACGCUGGCGGCGUGCUUAACACAUGCCAGUCGAACGAUGAAGCCCAGCUUGCUGGGUGGAUUAGUGGCGAACGGGUGAGUAACACGUGAGUAACCUGCCCUUAACUCUGGGAUACGCCUGGGAAACUGGGUCUAAUACCGGAUAGGAGCGUCCACCGCAUGGUGGGUGUUGGAAAGAUUUAUCGGUUUUGGAUGGACUCGCGGCCUAUCAGCUUGUUGGUGAGGUAAUGGCUCACCAAGGCGACGACGGGUAGCCGGCCUGAGAGGGUGACCGGCCACACUGGGACUGAGACACGGCCCAGACUCCUACGGGAGGCAGCAGUGGGGAAUAUUGCACAAUGGGCGAAAGCCUGAUGCAGCGACGCCGCGUGAGGGAUGACGGCCUUCGGGUUGUAAACCUCUUUCAGUAGGGAAGAAGCGAAAGUGACGGUACCUGCAGAAGAAGCACCGGCUAACUACGUG